CCGAGUUUACAACUCCCAAACCCAUGUGAACAUUACCACUGUUGCCUCGGCGGGAUCACGCCCCGGUGCGGUAAAAGCCCGGACCAGGCCCCGCCAGAGGACCACCUAAACUCUGUUUCUAUAUGUCCCUCUCUGACGUAUUUACACUCUAUCAAAAUUCAAAUAUCA
This 168-nucleotide unclassified non-coding RNA is filed under the name soil metagenome. RNAcentral describes it as "partial internal transcribed spacer 1". The record is from RNAcentral.